Molecule: ribosomal RNA, 497 nt
Filed under: uncultured bacterium
Lineage: Bacteria
Description: bacterial SSU rRNA
Rfam family: Bacterial small subunit ribosomal RNA
Source: RNAcentral
GGCUCAGGAUGAACGCUGGCGGCGUGCUUAACACAUGCAAGUCGAACGAAGCUCCUAAACCUGAGAUUCGUCAAGGGCGAGGGAUGACUUAGUGGCGGACGGGUGAGUAAUGCGUGAGCAACCUGCCCUUCAGAGGGGACACAGCUGGAAACGGCUGCUAAUACCGCAUAAAGUACAGAUGAGGCAUCUCGACUGUACCAAAGAUUUAUCGCUGAAGGAUGGGCUCACGUCUGAUUAGCUAGUUGGUGAGGUAAUGGCUCACCAAGGCUGCGAUCAGUAGCCGGACUGAGAGGUUGGCCGGCCACAUUGGGACUGAGAUACGGCCCAGACUCCUACGGGAGGCAGCAGUGGGGAAUAUUGGGCAAUGGGCGCAAGCCUGACCCAGCAACGCCGCGUGAAGGAAGAAGGCUUUCGGGUUGUAAACUUCUUUUGGCAGGGACGAAGAAAGUGACGGUACCUGCAGAAUAAGCUCCGGCUAACUACGUGCCAGCAGCAGC